Molecule: long non-coding RNA, 408 nt
Organism: Trematomus bernacchii (emerald rockcod)
Lineage: Eukaryota; Metazoa; Chordata; Actinopteri; Perciformes; Nototheniidae
Exons: 4
Source: RefSeq, a predicted model, not a curated record
GGUCCUCCGGGUGCAGCCUGUCAACACUGCCAUAAAGAGCGUGAAGCUCUCCCCUCUCGGCGUCAUCGAUAGGAAAGCCUGAUCGUUACUGAGAGCUGAAGCUGGUGGUGCUGGUGUCCAAGGUGGUGGUCUUCCUCCCUCCUUCUGUCGGUGAUGUGCUCCCCCGGGAUUUGAUUUCCUGCACGUAUGACUGGGGGGAUUUAAGUUUGGUUUGUUUGGGGAUCCUUCCACUCACUCGUCGACCCUAUCCCCCCACUGGUGGGGGCUCUGCUAUGGAUCAGAGUGAGGACAGAGAGGAGGAAGCCCCCCCCUCUAAAGGCUCUGGGGAACAUGACAGCCAGACCAAAGCUCAGAGCCCAGAGCAAACACCACAUCCUGCUGGACCUGGACCUGGACCUGAACCUGGAC